GCGUCGAUGGUGUGGUGGUAGCACGCGCCCUCGCUAAGGGUGCAGCCCGAGUUCAACUCUCGGCUGAGGUCA
Molecule: non-coding RNA, 72 nt
Organism: Parelaphostrongylus tenuis
Lineage: Eukaryota; Metazoa; Nematoda; Chromadorea; Rhabditida; Metastrongylidae
Source: the annotation of a GenBank genome assembly